GGCCCUCAUACCACCCUCAUGGAGUCUGUUUCUGACCGUUUGAGCAGACACAUGCACAUUUGUGGCCUGCUGGAGGUCAUUUUGCAGGGCUCUGGCAGUGCUCCUCCUGCUGCUGGGUUGUUGCCCUCCUACUGCCUCCUCCACAUCUCCUGAUGUAAUGGCCUGUCUCCUGGUACCACCUCCAUGCUCUGGACACUUCGUUGACAGACACAGCAAACCUUCUUGCCACAGCUUGCAUUGAUGUGCCAUCCUGGAUGAGUU
Molecule: non-coding RNA, 261 nt
Organism: Pelobates cultripes (western spadefoot toad)
Lineage: Eukaryota; Metazoa; Chordata; Amphibia; Anura; Pelobatidae
Source: the annotation of a GenBank genome assembly